This is a non-coding RNA of Triticum aestivum (bread wheat), 125 nucleotides long. The record is from Rfam. NCBI's taxonomy places the organism in Eukaryota, Viridiplantae, Streptophyta, Magnoliopsida, Poales, Poaceae.
UUGCUACUCCCACCGUUCGGAAAUACUUGUCGGAGAAAUGGAUGUAUCUAGACAUAAUUUAGUUCUAGAUACAUCCAUUUCUAACCAUUUUCAUGACAAGUAACUCCCAAUGGAAGGAGUAUAUU